RNAcentral lists this long non-coding RNA (907 nucleotides) under Monodelphis domestica (gray short-tailed opossum). Its description in RNAcentral is "lncRNA (ENSMODG00000033551.2)". Lineage: Eukaryota; Metazoa; Chordata; Mammalia; Didelphimorphia; Didelphidae. The record is from RNAcentral.
GAAACCUUACCCACUAUUAUUUACCCUCUCCUUAGCUUCUAAGAUCCCAAUGACUCAAAAUGGGCCUCAUUAGCCCUAUGGCUUAAUUAAUCCUAAUAGCUUCUAGUGGUAUUUUUACUUAAAUUAUUGGAAUCAUGUAUUUUUCCUGAUGAAAUCCAUGAUUUCAUUCCAUAUCAGCUCCUACAAGUUCCUCAGUUGAUCAGUAAAUAUGUGGCAGCUACUCUAAAAGGCACUGGAUAUAUAAAGUUAAAUAGUUCCCUCCCUCAAAGAGCUUAUAUUCUAUCACUGGAUAGAAAAAAAAAUAUUUAGGCAUAUAAAAAUUAAUAUAAGUUCUCUAAAGGGCAUUUUUGAAGGAUGACAUUCAUUUGUGCAUGGCUCUCAUUUGUUUAGUAAUUUUUAGUCAAGUUCAACUUUUCAUCAUCCUAUUUGGAAUUUUCUUGGCAAAGAUACUGGAAUAAAUGAGGAAACUGAAGCAAACAAGGUUAGGUGACUUGCCCAGAGUCACACAGUUAAGAAAGAAGAUCUUAUUGUCUCAAUUCCAUCUAACUAAACAGAAAAAAACCCAAUUUGACUUGUAAGAGAUCUGUCAGUGGCCACUUGGAAGGUCUGCCUUGGCAACCUCUCAACUGAGAUUCAAAAAGUACAGGAAGUGGAAGGAGGAAGGACAAAACAUGCACAGUUGCUGCUGAAGAAAAAUGAAACCCUCAGCUACUGUUCCCCAGGCCCCUCGCUUUCUCAUUCUGCUUGCUCCAUUCAUGUCUGCUAUAGAUUUUGCACUGCCCGUCUCCCUCAGUAGGACACCAGUCCUGUGAGCACUCAGAGGCCAAACAAAACCCGGAUUCACAGAUAUGUAACUGUUUUUCUUUGCUCAUGGCAUUAAAGAAAAAAAAUUCUGUUAGCACAGGGC